This 793-nucleotide long non-coding RNA is filed under the name Gossypium raimondii (Peruvian cotton). RNAcentral describes it as "long non-coding RNA (GRAI_LNC006488)". Lineage: Eukaryota; Viridiplantae; Streptophyta; Magnoliopsida; Malvales; Malvaceae. The record is from RNAcentral.
UAUUUUUCUCGAUUUAUAAAAUAUAAAAAGGCACAAAUAUCCUCAAAAUAAUAUGUAAUAAGCCCAAUUGUCCCGGGCCCGCACAAAACAAAGUAGGCAGUCUGUUUUUUGUAAUAACAGGCCUAAACCCAUCUAAGGCCCAAUUUUUUACAAGCCCAACAAGUAGCCCAUAACAUUUUCAGCAGAAAAAACAAAAAAACCAAGUGCAGCAAGCUUGACGCCGCAGCGUCGCUCCCACGCGCAGCAAGUCCCCACCUUCGGCAGUCCCAAGCACCGCACGUCUCGGAGACCGACUCCCCACGCGCACCGUGCUCUCCGCAACGAACCUGCAAACACGGAUUCAAAGAAUCCGAAAGAGGAAAAAUAGCAAAGAAUAACAAAAUAGAUAGUUUUUAUUUUGUACAUUUCGGCUAUAAAAGGGUUGAUUUUAAUCUGUAAAAGGGAUUUUUUUUUGAGUUUAACGUACGAGAAUAGAGGAAAAACACAAGGAAUACAGAUGAAAUAGGAAUAUAAAAUCUGUUUUUACAAAGGUUUUUUUCUUUUUGUUUUACUUUCCAGUGCCCAUUCUUUCUAUUUACAUAUAUAUCUUUUUUUAUUUCUUUCUAUUUUCAUUUUACUUCAUUUAACAUAUAAAGAAAAUGGAAGGACUUACCUUACUCAUCGGAGUCGCUGAGUCGACGCCACCUCCGUCGCAAUCGAGGUCGGGGCGUAGGCGGAGGCCAAGGGACGGCCUUGACUGAGAGCGGCGGCAGAGAAAACAAAGAAAACCCUAGUUAGGGUUGUUUGUUUUUUU